RNAcentral lists this ribosomal RNA (398 nucleotides) under Eukaryota sp. Its description in RNAcentral is "partial small subunit ribosomal RNA". It matches the Rfam family "Eukaryotic small subunit ribosomal RNA", at positions 582 to 975 of the family's 1831-position model. The record is from RNAcentral.
AUUCCAGCUCCAAUAGCGUAUAUUAAAGUUGUUGCGGUUAAAAAGCUCGUAGUUGGAUUUCUGCUGAGGACGACUGGUCCGCCCCCUGGGUGAGCAUCUGGUUCGGCCUGGGCAUCUUCUUGGGGAACGUAUCUGCACUUGAUUGUGUGGUGCGGUAUCCAGGACUUUUACUUUGAGGAAAUUAGAGUGUUUCAAGCAGGCCCGCGCCUUGAAUACAUUAGCAUGGAAUAAUAAGAUAGGACUUUGGUGGUUCUUUUUGAUAUUUUGUUGGUUUGCACGCCAAAGUAAUGAUUAAUAGGGGCAGUUGGGGGUAUUCGUAUUCAAUUGUCAGAGGUGAAAUUCUUGGAUUUAUAGAAGACGAACUACUGCGAAAGCAUUUACCAAGGAUGUUUUCAUUG